GCUAGAACUGGACACCUCGGGGGUUUCCUGCUUUAUGGCGAAGGACGGAGUUUUGCUCUUGUUGCCCAAGCUGGAGUGCAAUGGUGCGAUCUUCGCUUACUGCAACCUCUGCUUCCUGGGUUCAAGUGAUUCCCCUGCCUCAGCCUCCCGAGUAGCAGGGAUUACAGAUGGAGCCUCGCUCUGUCACCCAGGCUGGAGUGCAGUGGCACAAUCUCGGGUCACUGCAACCUCCGCCCCCCAGCUUCAAGCGAUUCUCCUGUCUCAGCCUCCCGAGUAGCUAGGAUUACAGGUGCACGCCACCAGGCCUGGCUAAUUUUUAUAUUUUUAGUAGAGAUGGGAUUUUGCCUUGUUGGCCAGGCUGGUCUCAAACUCCUGACCUCAGGUGACCCAUCCACCUUGGCCUCCCAAAGUGCUGGGACUACAGGUGUGAGCCACCAUGCCUGGUCCCCCACUUGUUGAUUUUGCAGAAAAGAUAGCUGUGUUACAACCUGUCCUAAGGUCAGGUAUGAAUACUUGUGCUUCUUUCUUGGCUCCCCAAGCCAGAGGGCAUUCCUAUGCCCAGGUGAGAGAGCACGGAGUGUUACUUUGGCAGCACAGUCAGUUACCAGAGGUAGGAAAAGCAAAGGCCAGGCAGGACAUGAGGGGCCCUUGCACUGGCUGGUUCUCCCUGCCUUCACCACCCUCCAGGUGAAUGACUGGGUGAAUAAUGAUUGACUGAGGAGGUAAUGAAUAAUUUAUGGACACUGCUGGACCUCAGUCUCCUCAUCUGAAAGAUGAGUGGUUGGAGAAGUUUAAUGGUUUUCAAAUGCUUUUUUUUUCAGUCUUCAAAUAAGUGUUUACGUAGAAGCACCAUAUCUGAAACAGGUGACAGUGGACCAGUCUGAAUGAAAUGAGGGUUGGCAGGCCUGAGCUCCAAAACCUUCUGAUUGCCCAAGCCCUCCUUGUCUUGCUUGGAUUAUCUCCACACAAAUGGAGAAACUGGACAAGGUGGUCAUGGAGGUCCCUGAAAGCUCAAAGACUUUCUCAUUCCAGGAUUCCCCAUGUUCAUAUGCCAGCAUGGCAUGGGGGUGCUCUGUAGUCAAGCAGGGUCCUUUGGGGGGCUUAGGGAUGGAGCCAGGAAAUGGCUCUGGGACUCAGCGGGUGUCCAGAGUCUCAUCAGCAGGGUUUCUUUACUUUCACUGAGUGGCUGGUGCCUGCACACUGAGUUUUGCAGGCUUACUCUCACAGAGUGAGCUUCCUGCAGGCCCCCCACUGCAACCCCUUUCCUUCCUGGAGCUGUGUGCUGACUGGUGCGUGAGCACCCCAGGCCCUCUCCCCAUGCUGCUGAUGGUCAGCUUUCUCUGCACGCUCGUGGUUGCCACAGUCAACGCUGAUAAAAUUGCUGAUGCAGAUUGCCUGCCCAGCUGCGAGUGCUGGCACGGGACCAGCAGCCCAGACGGUCACUGGAAGUGGUUGGGCUGAUUAUUGGCAUCAUCUCCAUUGUCCUACUCGGUUCUUAAAGGCAUAUGGACUUGCCUCACUCCUACAGCAAAUGACGGCAUGGGCAAAGAGGGGCAACAGACCCACCCUGAAGACACUCCUCAUCUGGUUGACUUGGCAGGGUUAAGGGAAAAAGAUGUGAUGACUAGGAGCUGAGAGCUUAGUGGUUCUGCCAGAGCUGCAGAGUCUUUGUUGGCCUCAGGGUGGGACCUCUCACAUCUCUGUCAGCUUUUCACGGACACCAACCUGUUAUGAUUCAUUUCACCUGUCCUGAGCACUAGCAAGAAAAAUUCGCUGUAGCUUGUGAUGUAUUAUUCUGGAUUUCUCAACUCAUUCAUUUGUUCAUUCAUUCACUAUACCAUUACUGUCUAUUAUAAGGGGGGCACAAUGGUAGGUGCUGGGAAUAAAAACGAUGUUUAACGUUUCAUGAGGCUUCCCUGUCCUUAAGGAGUCCGCGUGUCUUUGUACCUGUCUGUCUGCUAGAUUAUUAAGUGACACUGUGAGAAGCUACUGAGAGCAGCAUGUGGGACAUGCAGAAGGGCAAGAGGCAGGAGAGAUGAUUCAUGUCGGAGGGGCAGGGGAGGACUGACGGAGAGGGUGAUGUUUGGCUGAGUCAUGAAGGCUAGUGGUAUUUUUCCAUGCAGAGAAGUGGGAGGAAAGGCAUUCUGUGUGGAGGGCACACAGUGUGCAAGGGCAGAGAGGUCAUUAUGUGAAGGCUUUGUGCUACUGCUUCAGAGUUGUGGAACGUGAUGUUGCAAUCUGGGAAAGACGCUGAUGGCAAGGGAUAGCAUCAUCAGGUUGUGCUGCCAUCCCUGAAAGGCCCAGGCUCAAAGGUUUUGGGUGAAGGAAGCCAGGAGGGUUAGAAAGGGAGGAAGAUGCCAGGGCAUCUGGUAAAAUAAAGCAUGUGUCAG
This 2390-nucleotide long non-coding RNA is filed under the name Homo sapiens (human). RNAcentral's name for it is "long non-coding RNA NONHSAT182429". Lineage: Eukaryota; Metazoa; Chordata; Mammalia; Primates; Hominidae. The record is from RNAcentral.